This 1193-nucleotide ribosomal RNA is filed under the name human gut metagenome. Its description in RNAcentral is "bacterial LSU rRNA". It matches the Rfam family "Bacterial large subunit ribosomal RNA", at positions 1720 to 2925 of the family's 2925-position model. The record is from RNAcentral.
AAUUGACCCCGUAACUUCGGGAAAAGGGGUGCCUGCUAGCGCAGGCCGCAGAGAAUAGGCCCAAGCGACUGUUUAGCAAAAACACAGGUCUCUGCUAAAUCGAAAGAUGAAGUAUAGGGGCUGACGCCUGCCCGGUGCUGGAAGGUUACGGGAAUCUGUAAGCGCAAGCGAAGCAGUGAACUUAAGCCCCAGUAAACGGCGGCCGUAACUAUAACGGUCCUAAGGUAGCGAAAUUCCUUGUCAGGUAAGUUCUGACCCGCACGAAUGGCGUAAUGAUUUGGGCACUGUCUCAACAGCACACCCGGUGAAAUUGUAGUACUUGUAAAGAUGCAAGUUACCCGCGAUUAGACGGAAAGACCCCAUGGAGCUUCACUGCAGGCUGAUAUUGGGUUCCGGUAUUUUCUGUACAGGAUAGGUGGGAGACAGAGAAGUAUGCACGCCAGUGCAUAUGGAGUCGACGUUGGGAUACCACUCUGAGAAUACUGGAGCUCUAACCCGGUACCAUGGAACUGGUACGGGGACACUGUCAGUCGGGCAGUUUGACUGGGGCGGUCGCCUCCCAAAGAGUAACGGAGGCGCCCAAAGGUUACCUCAGCGCAGUUGGAAAUUGCGUGAUAGAGUGCAAAGGCAGAAGGUAGCCUAACUGAGAGGCUGACAAGCCGAACAGGUACGAAAGUAGGGCUUAGUGAUCCGGCGGUAUGAAAGUGGAAUUGCCGUCGCUCAACGGAUAAAAGCUACCCUGGGGAUAACAGGCUUAUCUCCCCCAAGAGUUCACAUCGACGGGGAGGUUUGGCACCUCGAUGUCGGCUCAUCGCAUCCUGGAGCUGUAGCAGGUUCCAAGGGUUUGGCUGUUCGCCAAUUAAAGCGGUACGCGAGCUGGGUUCAGAACGUCGCGAGACAGUUCGGUCCCUAUCUGUCGUGGGCGUAGGAUAUUUGAGGGGAACUGUCCUUAGUACGAGAGGACCGGGAUGGACGAACCUCCGGUGCACCAGUUGUUCCACCAGGAGCAUAGCUGGGUAGCCGAGUUCGGAUCGGAUAAACGCUGAAAGCAUCUAAGCGUGAAGCCGGCCCCAAGAUGAGAUAUCCCAUCGAAAGAGUAAGACCCCACAAAGACUAAGUGGUUGAUAGGUCAGGAGUGGAAGCGUAGUAAUGCGUUAAGCGGACUGAUACUAAUAGGUCGAGGGCUUGACCAA